This 377-nucleotide ribosomal RNA is filed under the name uncultured bacterium. RNAcentral's name for it is "bacterial SSU rRNA". It matches the Rfam family "Bacterial small subunit ribosomal RNA", at positions 790 to 1167 of the family's 1533-position model. The record is from RNAcentral.
GUAGUCCACGCCCUAAACGAUGUCGACUAGUUGUUGGGGGAGUCUGUCCCUCAGUAACGUAGCUAACGCGUGAAGUCGACCGCCUGGGGAGUACGGUCGCAAGAUUAAAACUCAAAGGAAUUGACGGGGACCCGCACAAGCGGUGGAUUAUGUGGAUUAAUUCGAUGCAACGCGAAGAACCUUACCUACCCUUGACAUGCCAGGAACCCUGCAGAGAUGCAGGGGUGCCCGAAAGGGAACCUGGACACAGGUGCUGCAUGGCUGUCGUCAGCUCGUGUCGUGAGAUGUUGGGUUAAGUCCCGCAACGAGCGCAACCCUUACCAUUAGUUGCUACAUUCAGUUGGGCACUCUAAUGGGACUGCCGGUGACAAACCGGA